GUCCCCUUCCACACUGUGGAAGCUUUGUUCUUUUGUUCUUUGCAAUAAAUCUUGCUAUUGCUCACUCUUUGGGUCCACACUGCUUUUAUGAGCUGUCACACUCACAGGGAAGGUCUGCAGCUUCACUCCUGAAGCCAGCGAGACCACGAGCCCACCAGGAGGAACGAACAACUCCAGACGCGCCGCCUUAAGAGCUGUAACACUCACCGUGAAGGUCUGCAGCUUCACUCCUGAGCCAGCGAGACCACCAAACCCACCAGAAUGAAGAAACUCCGAACACAUCCGAACAUCAGAAGGGACAGACUCCAGAUGCGCCACCUUAAGAGCUGUAACACUCACUGCGAGGGUCCGCGGCUUCAUUCUUGAAGUCAGACCAAGAACCCACCAAUUCCGGACACGGAAGGACUUUAAUAUUAAAGAGUGCUAUGGUUAAAAUCAGUUCAAUUAAAAGUGGAUAUUCAAGCUCUAACAGCCUGGACUCCCUGGGAAAAACAGGAGGCACCAGAGAACCCUUUGCUGGCCCUGUUCUUCCAAGCGCUCCACCCUAAAGCUGGUAAUCCAAUUAAAAAACUUAAAAACUGGCAAAUGAAAAAUCUUACAACCCCUGUGGUGAUCUGCUUCUGUCUUUCUGUGUAGCUACAUAUGUGUUGUGUGUAACGUUUAUAUUUUUAAAAACUAAUUAAUUGGCUUAAACAAAAAUAAGCACUUACAUCAAAUAUUUUGAAACCAAAAUGAAAACCGUAAUGUCUUUUAGUUCAUGUAACUUUAGAAAUCUUUGGGAAAUAAAAACAGCUUUAAUAAUUGUUGAUAAAACCAUUUAGUCUAAAGUAUGCAGGUCAGAUAUUAAGUUGGCUAAAUGCUUUGAGGUUGUAAACUGCUUCUUUAACUUUUAAAAUUUGUUCAAUUUAUGUACCUUAAAGCCAUUAGAUUCUAGAUAAGGCCUGGGGGGACAUGUAGAAUUAGCCAUGCCCCCUAGCUGUACAAAGAUUAUAAAGAAAGGUUAUAUGAGAAAGCAUCUUGUAUGGUAAAUUCUUGUCCUAAAGUAAAAUAACUGGUUGUUUAAAAGGAGGGAUGUUUACGGCAAGUCAGAAAGUCGAAAAAUGCCUCAUGUGGUCUGUGUAAGUCGUGAAAGGAUUUGUGAAAGGGAAUUUGUGCGAGAAAUGUUCUACAAUUCAAAGGUGGUUGGGCUUCUUAAAUGCUUCGUAAAAUGCCACCAUGACGCUUACCAUACAAUUUGCCUGCUUCAGUAAGAUAGGGCCUGGGGACAUGUGGAGUUAGUCACGUCCCUAGCUAUGCUGGAGAGUCAGCCCUUAUCUGUACUUCUGCCUGGUAUGUCCUAGGCUAGGCUUCACAUCUAGUAGACAAUUAAAAUUGCUCACUAACCAGCGUUUUCACCAAAAGUAAGCGUCGCUAAAAGUUAACAUUGUAACACGUAAUUGAGACUAUUGAAAAAAACAGCUUUACAUGUAAGGUGUGUAAGGAAAGUAGAAUGUACUUUUGGUACAAGGUUAUAAGAAGGCAUGGGAAUGUGAAUUUUUUUGCUUAAAGGGAUAAAGAAUUGUUGUAAGUUAGUAGAAUAAAGGUAAAGGUUUGAACAGUUGUGGAAAGUUUGUAAAAACUUAAUUGUAAAAGAGAUUCUGUGUGUGUGCACUGGCUAAAUUAAAGGGAUAUUAUUCCAUUUUUAUAUAAAUUAAACAUUGAAAUAAAAGCACAACAGGUUUUUCUUAGAGCAAAAAAACUGCUUAUAAUCUGCUCUUUAACAAAAACUUGUAAAGGGUUAUAAAAGGUUUAUGAGAAUCUUACCUUAUGGUCAAACUGAUUAAGAUUGGACAUAUUUUUAUAAAUAAAACCUUAUUUAUAAGGUUUUAUUAAGAAUUGGGUUUGGCAUCAAUAGUGCACUAAUGCAACAGUGACAUUUGGCUUAUUUUGGUACAAAAAUCCUACAGGAAGCCCUGUCCUGUAUGGUUUUAUCUGGGCAGUAUUUGUAUAAAUGUGUUAUUGGUAUAUAUUCCAAAAUUAUGGGCAACUCCUAUAAUCCAGAUAUGACACUGUACAUUAGCAGUAAUAAUUAUAAUCGUUACCUAAAAUCAUUGUAUACCAUAGUGGUAACAAAUUUCCUUGUCAAUUGUUUAUUUGACUGUGGCUGCCCUAAAACAUUUUGUCGGCCACAGACAAUUGUUACCUUGUUUUAGUCCUCUUUAAAAGGUGGUUUAAAAUCAAUUAUAGAACUCUAACAGGCUUUUUUGUUGUUGUUGUUGUUUGUUUGUUUGUUUUUCUGAGACAGAAUCUUACUCUGUUGCCUAGGCUGGAGUACAGUGGCGUGAUCUCAGCUCACUGCAACCUCCGCCUCCCAGGUUCAAGCAAUUCUCCUGCCUCAGCCUCCUGAGUAUCUGGGAUUAGAGGCAUGCACCACCAUGCCUCACUAAUUUUUUUUUUGUAUUUUUUGUACAGGUAGAGUUUCACCAUGUUGGACAGUCUGGUCUUGAACUCUUGACCUCAAGUGAUCCCCCUGCCUCGGCCUCCCAGAGUGCUGGGAUUACAGGUGUGAGCCACCAUGCCUGGCCUAACAGGCAUUCUUAAAUGUAGGUUUUCUAAUAACUUUGGAAAUUGUAACAUCAGAAUAGAGGAAAAACUUGCAGGACUCUCAUGGAGAGCUAAAAUGUUCAUAAAUAUCAAGCAAAACAGGAGUUAACUAAAUUCACUAAACCAAUAAAAAAACGGAAGUAAUCUUUUAAACUUUGCUUAAAACAUUGCUGAUCCUUUGUUUUGUUUUUCAAAGUCAAGGAAACUUUUCUUUUGAGCUGUUUACAGCUUUUAACAGUUAAGUAUGUAUCCACCUAUAAACAAAAUGUGGAGCAUAUUUGUUUCUCUCUACCUAAUUUCUCCAGAAUUUGUAAACUAGUUGUGAGUAUUCUUAACUUAUGGCAAUAUAGUUAUUUGCAUAACUAUAUUUGCAAUAAGAAACUGUUUUCUUUUGUAACAGGACACAAUGGGAGAAAUUGGUGAUUUUUGUCAAGGCUUUGCCUGGAAUAGUGUGUUUUCCUUUAGGGAAUUAAACUUGACUUAUAGAGCCAAUAAAAUCUCUUUAGGGAACUGACCUUAUACCUUUCCAAAACAGUCCCUGUGCAGGGUUUCUAACCUGUGGUGAGUAAAGAAUGUCACUUUCUGACAGGUCCAGGAGCCCCAGGUUAUCUUGGGACAUCAAGAGGAAAAAAAAUUUACCUAACUCAUAGAUAUACAAAGGUACAAACCCAUGGCUGGGCUCAGCUUUAAAAAAGUCUUAUCUGAGAUUCCUUAUGAAACAGAGUUCCAUCAAAGCCAAUUUAAAAACAGCUUAUGUGAAAAAUAAUUAUUCUUGCUGCACUUUAUACAAAUAAUCAGGCCAAAUAUAAUAAAGCAAAUCAGUCUUACCAUAAUUUGUCUUUAGUAAAAAUGGAAAACUGGAGAGAGAAAUAUUAUGUUUCAAGAACUAUGGUGCACUUGUUGUUAAAUUCUAGUCUUAUCUGUUGUUUUUAAGUUUGUUUCUGCAAUUUAGGCUAACCCUGCUUAUUCCUGUGAAUCAACCAGUGAUCUCUGACUGUUGCUCAGAAGAAACAAGAGGUAUUGGGGAACCUGCCCCAAUAUUCACAUAUCACCUUUCGUCAAAACUCAAGACUUAUUAAUGGACUUACCACACUGAUGCUUUCUGACUGAGCUCCUCUCUACCCUGAUUGCAAGAGACCCUCAUAGUUAGAGAGGAAUAUCAUCACCCCUAUUCAGCCUGAAGAAGUUACAGAAGAUGGAUCUCCAUCCCUCUGCAACCUUUAGGAAUAAGUGUUCUCUUAUAAAAGGAAGGGGGGAAAUAUCAGAGGCAUGUGAACCAGAGCAACUCCAUCUUAAACAGGAACUGGGUCAAAUGAGGCUAAAACCUACUGGGCUGCAUUCCCAGAUGUUUAAGGCAUACUAAGUCACAGGAUGAGAUAGGAGGUCAGCACAAAAUACAGGUCACAAAGACUUUGCUGAUAAAACAGUUUGCAGUAAAGGAGCCAGCCAAAACCCACCAAAACCAAAAUGACCAUGAGAGUGACCUCUGGUCAUCCUCACUGCUACACUCCCAUCAGCGCCAUAACAGUUUAUAAAUGCCAUGGCAAUGUCAGGAAGUUACCCCAUACCGUUUGAAAAGAGGAGGCAUGAAUAAUCCACCCCCUUGUUUAGCAUAUCAUCAGGAAAUAACCAUGAAAAUGGGCAGCCAGCAGCCCUCAGGGUGGCUCUAUGGAGUAGCCAUUCUUUUAUUCCUUUACUUUUUUCUUUUUUUGAGGUGGAGUCUUGCUCCAUCACCCAGACUGGGGUGCAGUGGCGCGAUCUCGGCUCACUGCAAGCUCCGCCUCCCAGGUUCACGCCAUUCUCCUGCCUCAGCCUCCCGAGUAGCUGGGACUACAGGCACCUGCCACCAUGCCUGGCUAAUUUUUUGUACUUUUAGUAGAUGUGGGAUUUCACCGUGUUAGCCAGGAUGGUCUUGAUCUCCUGACCUCGUGAUCCACCUGCCUUGGCCUCCCAAAGUGCUGGGAUUACAGGCGUGAGCCACCGCGCCCAGCCUCCUUUACUUUCUUAAUCAACUUGCUUUCACUUUGCACUGUGGACUCAUCCCAAAUUCUUUCUUGCUCUAGAUCCAAGAACCCUCUCUUGGGAUCUGGACUGGGGCCCCUUUCCUGUAACACCCGAGAUUGCACAGAAAUCGUCAAAUCAGGUUUAGCCUAAAGCCACGUCUUUACAUAUUUUAAGUUUGGCCUAAAGGUUUUUCUGUACAUCAUGAACUGUAACAGGGGGAGGUGUAAACAGACCAUAGCCUACACUUGUGCCAGUCACUGAGUUUUGGCCAACCAAAUGUAGCCAACUGUUCAAACCAUGUGCAAAUAAGGCAAACACCAAGCUGUAACCCUCCAGCUGUUUCUGUGCCUCACUUCCAUUUUCUGUAAGUCACUUUCUUUUUUCUGUCCAUAAAUCUUCCACCCCAUGGCUGCACUGGAGUCUCUGAGCCUACUCUGACUGGAAGCUUGCUGGAUUCUCAAAUUGUUCAUUGCUCAAUUAAAUUUUAUUUGGCUGAAGUUUUUAUUUUGUCAAUAUUUCAAAGUAAAAUGUUUCUCUAAAAUCAGAGCUAUUUGUAGAAAUACAAAUAAAAAUGGAAAACUUUUUUCUUGUCAGUUUUUGUUAGCUUUUUAUUAAUAAUUUAUUCAAUUUAGCUAAAUUUCCAA
Molecule: long non-coding RNA, 5231 nt
Filed under: Homo sapiens (human)
Lineage: Eukaryota; Metazoa; Chordata; Mammalia; Primates; Hominidae
Description: HSALNT0145226
Source: RNAcentral